RNAcentral lists this transfer-messenger RNA (139 nucleotides) under Candidatus Atribacteria bacterium. RNAcentral's name for it is "partial transfer-messenger RNA". It matches the Rfam family "transfer-messenger RNA", at positions 229 to 374 of the family's 374-position model. Rfam says of the family: Bacterial tmRNA, also known as 10Sa RNA or SsrA, is named for its dual tRNA and mRNA-like properties. Lineage: Bacteria; Pseudomonadati; Atribacterota; Atribacteria. The record is from RNAcentral.
UGCGGUGAAUUCAGGAAGCUCGAUUCGUAGAACCUUGUCCACAGGGGCAUGCGGAUUUAAAUCAAAAUGUGGAACUAAGCUUGUAGACGCUGACCCAAGGGGUUUUCGGACGCGGGUUCGACUCCCGCCACCUCCACCA